Molecule: transfer RNA, 66 nt
Filed under: Limbodessus palmulaoides
Lineage: Eukaryota; Metazoa; Arthropoda; Insecta; Coleoptera; Dytiscidae
Description: tRNA-Asp
Source: RNAcentral
AAAGAAUUAGUUAAAUAAUAACAUUAGAAUGUCAAACUAAAAUUAUUAAAUUAUUAAUACUCUUUA